Molecule: ribosomal RNA, 1676 nt
Filed under: Leptojacobus dorci
Lineage: Eukaryota; Metazoa; Nematoda; Chromadorea; Rhabditida; Diplogasteridae
Description: SSU rRNA
Rfam family: Eukaryotic small subunit ribosomal RNA
Source: RNAcentral
AUGUCUCAAAACACACUGACUAACAGUAAAUUUGCGGACGGCUCCUUACAACAGAGAUUAUUUCUUUGAACUUGAUUUCCUACAUGGAUAACUGUGGUAAUUCUAGAGCUAAUACAUGCACCAAAUCUCCGACUGUCUCAGAAGGAGAGCAUUUAUUAGACUAUGCCAAUCGGGCUUGCCCGUCUUUGGUGACUCUGAAUAACUCAGCUGAUCGCAUGGUCUCGUACCGGCGACGUAUCAAUCAAGUCUCUGCCUUAUCAACUUUCGAUGGUAGUUUAUGUGCCUACCAUGGUUGUAACGGGUAACGGAGAAUCAGGGUUCGACUCCGGAGAGGGAGCCUGAGAAACGGCUACCACAUCUAAGGAAGGCAGCAGGCGCGUAAAUUACCCACUCUCGAUACGAGGAGGUAGUGACUAUUAAUAACGAGACCGUUCUCUAUGAGGCCGGUUAUCGGAAUGGGUACAAUUUAAACCCUUUAACGAGGAUCUAUGAGAGGGCAAGUCUGGUGCCAGCAGCCGCGGUAAUUCCAGCUCUCAAGGUGUAUAUCGUCAUUGCUGCGGUUAAAAAGCUCGUAGUUGGAUCUGAGCCUCUGGACUUGGUUCACCAAUGGUGUUAACUGAGCUCCUGGGCUAUAUAUGCUAGUUAUCGUGAGUGGCCUUAAACAGCUGCUUUCGAGGGCUGGCAAGUUUACCUUGAAAAAAUUAGAGUGCUUAACACAGGCGUUUCGCUUGAAUAUUCGUGCAUGGAAUAAUAGAAGAGGACUUCGGUUCUAUUUUAUUGGUGUCGGAUCUGAAGUAAUGGUUAAGAGGGACUGACGGGGGCAUCCGUAUCGUUGCGUGAGAGGUGAAAUUCUUGGACCGCAACGGGACGCUCUACUGCGAAAGCAUUUGCCAAGAAUGUCUUCAUUAAUCAAGAACGAAAGUCAGAGGAUCGAAGGCGAUUAGAUACCGCCCUAGUUCUGACCGUAAACGAUGCCUACUAGCGACCAGUCGGAGGUUCUUACGCCCUGACUGGGAGCUUCCCGGAAACGAAAGUCUUCCGGUUCCGGGGGAAGUAUGGUUGCAAAGCUGAAACUUAAAGAAAUUGACGGAAGGGCACCACCAGGAGUGGAGCCUGCGGCUUAAUUUGACUCAACACGGGAAAACUCACCCGGCCCGGACACUGUUAGGAUUGACAGAUUGAGAGCUCUUUCAUGAUUCGGUGGUUGGUGGUGCAUGGCCGUUCUUAGUUGGUGGAGCGAUUUGUCUGGUUUAUUCCGAUAACGAGCGAGACUCUAGCCUACUAAAUAGUUACUGGGUUCUUACGCCUAGUGAACUUCUUAGAGGGAUAAGCGGUGUUUAGCCGCACGAGAUUGAGCAAUAACAGGUCUGUGAUGCCCUUAGAUGUCCGGGGCUGCACGCGCGCUACACUGGAAGAAACAGCGUGCUUGAACCAUUGCUGAAAGGCAUUGGCAAACCAAUGAAAGUCUUCCGUGAUCGGGAUAGGGAAUUGCAAUUAUUUCCCUUAAACGAGGAAUUCCCAGUAAGUGUGAGUCAUCAGCUCACGUUGAUUACGUCCCUGCCCUUUGUACACACCGCCCGUCGCUGCCCGGGACUGAGCCGUUUCGAGAAAUGCGAGGACCAUCGCUGUGGGGACUUCGGUUUCCUGCGGUGGAGGGAAUUGCCUUAAUCGCAGUG